UGUUUGACUAGCUGUCUAACAGCAUUCUAUAUAAAUCACCAAAGUCUUGAGGAUCAAAGUAAGUUACACAAUCCCUCUCAGAGAAUCCGUUGCUACUCUUAUUAUUCUCUAAAUCUAAUUUGAGCAUCGGAGGGUCCUUACCGGAGUGAAAACUUUUGGUUGGGACUUAUUUUGUAGGUCACUCUAGUACCAGCAACCCUAUGCGAGGCUCAGCCGCCCUCUCUCCAACUUUGACUGAUUUCAACAGCAACAG
RNAcentral lists this long non-coding RNA (253 nucleotides) under Elaeis guineensis (African oil palm). Its description in RNAcentral is "long non-coding RNA (EGUI_LNC048457)". Lineage: Eukaryota; Viridiplantae; Streptophyta; Magnoliopsida; Arecales; Arecaceae. The record is from RNAcentral.